Molecule: long non-coding RNA, 562 nt
Filed under: Homo sapiens (human)
Lineage: Eukaryota; Metazoa; Chordata; Mammalia; Primates; Hominidae
Description: HSALNT0321299
Source: RNAcentral
CAGAUAGCUGAACCACAUUUGUGGUGAUGAAAGGUUUGGUCAGAAAAGGAGGCUGGGGUAAAACAGCAUCUAUUCUGUCAUUUGAAGAAUGGGAAGGAUUUUGCUAGAACAAGAGAGGGUGGGAAAAUAAGAAAGGAAAAUAGAACAUUUUAGGGAAAGGGAAUAGUGUGUGCAAAGAUGAAGAAGUAUAAAAGAAAAUGUAGCUUAUUCCAGAAACUGCUAAAAGGAUCAAUAUGCUGUCGUGUCAUGAGAGAGCCACAAUUCUUCAAACAUAUUUAACUGCUGGAGAGAAUGGCUCAGAAUCCCAGGUAUCAGCUUCAGCACACGGAGGAUAUAUCCUUGGUUUCCUGCAAUGAUGUCUGAUGAAGAUCUCUUCUUGGCCCUUGACAGAAGAAGCAGAGUAACUUUUCUUAGGUGGCAUAAUUCUUCAAAAUGUGUUCAUUUUGAAGAACAGGGGUGAUGGAUGGUAAUACACAGGCAGGGAUCAACAGUCCCAGAACUGAAGGAAGAGUUGACAAAUGUAUCAAAGAUGCCUAAUCAAAAUGUGUCCACAUUCUGCUAA